Molecule: small nuclear RNA, 101 nt
Organism: Callithrix jacchus (white-tufted-ear marmoset)
Lineage: Eukaryota; Metazoa; Chordata; Mammalia; Primates; Cebidae
Source: Ensembl
GUGUUUGCAUUGGCAGCACAUAUACUAUAACUGGAAUAACAGAGACAAUCAGCACAUCCCCUGUGCAGGAUGCACACAUUCCUGAAGUGCUCUGUAUUUUU